GACGGAGGGUGCUAGCGUUGUUCGGAAUUACUGGGCGUAAAGGGCGCGUAGGCGGCCGCUUGCGUCGGAUGUGAAAGCCCGGGGCUCAACCCCGGAACGGCAUCCGAUACGGGGCGGCUGGAGACCGGGGGAGGAGGGUGGAAUAGCCAGUGUAGAGGUGAAAUUCGUAGAUAUUGGCUGGAACACCGGUGGCGAAAGCGGCUCUCUGGCCCGGUUCUGACGCUGAGGCGCGAAAGCGUGGGGAGCAAACAGG
This 253-nucleotide ribosomal RNA is filed under the name uncultured bacterium. RNAcentral's name for it is "partial 16S ribosomal RNA". It matches the Rfam family "Bacterial small subunit ribosomal RNA", at positions 524 to 776 of the family's 1533-position model. The record is from RNAcentral.